Long non-coding RNA from Gadus chalcogrammus (walleye pollock), 1369 nucleotides. RefSeq lists it as uncharacterized. The transcript has 10 exons. The record is from RefSeq and is a predicted model, not a curated record. NCBI's taxonomy places the organism in Eukaryota, Metazoa, Chordata, Actinopteri, Gadiformes, Gadidae.
AAAACUAUGAUCUCCCACUAAACUAGAAGAAGAAGAAGAAGAUCUCUGCAUCCGGGACGUCACGGACUAGGUCACGUGUCUGGGCCCCUUAACGCGGAAGCAAAUCGCUCCUGUAUGUUACCCUCAUGGACAUAAUAAAGAAAAUGUAUAGUGCUAUUGUAACAUUUUCUUCCUUUUACUUUUAUAUAGAGUCUACUUUUUCAAGUUAUUCGGGGUGAGCAACUUUUUUUUUUUUUUUUCAAUAGAACAAAAAAAAAGAAAUCUUGGACAAACAGAUUUCUAAAAAAUGUGAGGACCUGAUGAAGACUGGCAUUGAACAAAAUACAAAUACCUGGGCUAGAGAUGGACUUUGGGGUCAAGUUUGUACCGGACUUGGCAUUCCAAACACAAAAAUCCAUCGAAUAAGACUUCAAGUAUAGCACAUCAAUCAUUUAAAAAGCACACAUCUCCAUCAUCUCCAUCGCCACAGGCUAGUGGAAUAGAUGAGCCUGGAGAACAGUAUUCUGAGCACACAUCACCAGGGUCCCUAUCGCCACAGGCUAGUGGAGCAGAUGAACCUGGACAAGAGUAUUCUGAGCUAAAGUCACUGUGGAAGAGAAAGAGCACAGAAGCUGUGGUUGCUGUGAUCCUGGCCCUCACACAUCCAGGUCACAGUUUUCUAAUUCAUCACAGCGAACUGUGCUCGCUGAGGCCUCACAGAUGGCUGACAGGCGAGGUAAUAGAGGGCCUCUUCCAUCUAAAUGCCAACCAAUGCCAACGUGGGCAGAGUAUUUACCUGCUAAACCAUUACACCGUAGGUGUAAUGGUGAUACAACACACAAAUGAUACAACACAGCUUGCCAAGGACUGACUUCAGCUUGUACCAAGCAAUACUCUCAUUUGUGAAUGUUGGAGGAGUACACUGGAAACUACUGUACAUAAUUUCUGCCACAUGCUCAGUCUUUUUGGUGGAUCCAAUGGAGAACAAAGCCGAGGAAGCGGAGUCCAAAAAUGCUGCAAAAAGAAUAGGUGAAUUCCUGAAGAUGAGAAAGAUCUGCCACGCAAAGAAUGACUGGGGGAGUAUAAAGUGGAGAGGAGCCACCAUGCCCCAUCCUCUUCAACAGGACAGCAGUAGUUGUGGGGUCAUCGUCACCAUGGAUCACUUUCCCUUGCCCUCCCUGGUCCAGCCUAUGGAGUGUGGACGUGAUGGGGAAAGGAGGUGACGUCUGGACUGAAGGUGGGGAGGUGACACGGCCAGGAGCUGGGAUGUGAUAAAGCUGCCCUGACUCCAGUCCUGAAGUAUAGCCGGUCAGAGGUAAUCAAUGAGUUAUCCUUUUCAAAACAGAAACAACAGUUACUUAUUAUUUCAAAGCUCCUCUCUAUCCACCAU